GGUGACAGAGCGAGACUCCGUCUCUUUUUCUUUUUUUUUUUUUUUUUUUUUUUUUUGAAAAAAAAAAAAAAAAAAAAAAAAAAGAAAAAGAGACGGAGUCUCGCUCUGUCACC
Molecule: microRNA precursor, 113 nt
Filed under: Chlorocebus sabaeus (green monkey)
Lineage: Eukaryota; Metazoa; Chordata; Mammalia; Primates; Cercopithecidae
Description: MIR7504 microRNA precursor family
Rfam family: MIR7504 microRNA precursor family
Source: Rfam by way of RNAcentral